AUUGAACGCUGGCGGCAGGCCUAACACAUGCAAGUCGAGCGGAUGAAGGGAGCUUGCUCCUGGAUUCAGCGGCGGACGGGUGAGUAAUGCCUAGGAAUCUGCCUGGUAGUGGGGGAUAACGUCCGGAAACGGGCGCUAAUACCGCAUACGUCCUGAGGGAGAAAGUGGGGGAUCUUCGGACCUCACGCUAUCAGAUGAGCCUAGGUCGGAUUAGCUAGUUGGUGGGGUAACGGCCUACCAAGGCGACGAUCCGUAACUGGUCUGAGAGGAUGAUCAGUCACACUGGAACUGAGACACGGUCCAGACUCCUACGGGAGGCAGCAGUGGGGAAUAUUGGACAAUGGGCGAAAGCCUGAUCCAGCCAUGCCGCGUGUGUGAAGAAGGUCUUCGGAUUGUAAAGCACUUUAAGUUGGGAGGAAGGGCAGUAAGUUAAUCCCUUGCUGUUUUGACGUUACCAACAGAAUAAGCACCGGCUAACUUCGUG
Molecule: ribosomal RNA, 484 nt
Filed under: uncultured bacterium
Lineage: Bacteria
Description: partial 16S ribosomal RNA
Rfam family: Bacterial small subunit ribosomal RNA
Source: RNAcentral